Molecule: long non-coding RNA, 907 nt
Filed under: Ananas comosus (pineapple)
Lineage: Eukaryota; Viridiplantae; Streptophyta; Magnoliopsida; Poales; Bromeliaceae
Description: long non-coding RNA (ACOM_LNC021198)
Source: RNAcentral
UAUAAAAACCUCGAGGGGUUCAAGUACAUACAAAAUGUCUACAACAUCGCUCGCUCCAGCGAGUACCCAGACAACAACCAUAUAUACAUAAAUACUCCAAAACUACCUGUGGGAGGUACUCCUCUAGCACUGCAACCCGUCUGGAAGGGAUCUAGCUCGCAACUCCCUUUCCACGAUCAGUAUCAGGGACAGCAGCAGCCGCAGAAGAUGGCUCUGCAAAAAGGGGUCAACAACUGGGUGUGAAAACUAUUGCAAAAAGAAGUAGUCCUUAGUGGGUACCGCUACCGACCUCAAUGGCUCACCCACUAAGUCUAUAGAAAGUAUGCAGGAAGAUAAUAAAGGAAAGCUGGAAACCCUACAGCUAUAUGCCCCUAUACUAUCACUAACCAACUCUAGCUAUCUGUAGAUAUGCAUCCCCUGCAACAACGACUAUACUGCCAAGGAACUGCCAACAGGCCCGUCCCGCCUGCGUCCGAGCUAUACCGUGAAAGAUAUGAAUCCCUAGGAUCUAAAAGGUAAAAGACACCUAGAGGGGGGUGAAUAGGUGUAAACGGCAACAAUCUCAAAACUCGAUGCAAAUUUAAAAUAGAAUACGAAAAAAUAAAAUCAGCACACCGAGAAUUAACGUGGGAAAACUCCAAACCGGAGAGAAAAACCCACGGGACCGACCACACAAAGAAAUCCACUAAGAAAACAUGAGUACAAGUGAUUUAUCAAAAAUACAAGACUCGAAAUACCGAAUUCUCGUUGUAGAAUAUCUUUGCCAGUCCUCGAUCGCUUGAAAUCCUCCAACCGAUCACACUGCAAAUCCUUGCAGCCACACACGCCUCGAUUCCACGAAACGCCCACCGAAUCCACGGUCUUCACGCGAGAUCCACGCGCUAACGCUCCAUCCGAAGCUCGUAGA